GGCGGAGAGUACGUAAAUGCAGUCGAGCGGAAGAUGGGAGCUUGCUCCCUGAUGUCAGCGGCGGACGGGUGAGUAACACGUGGGUAACCUGCCUGUAAGACUGGGAUAACUCCGGGAAACCGGGGCUAAUACCGGAUGCUUGAUUGAACCGCAUGGUUCAAUUAUAAAAGGUGGCUUUUAGCUACCACUUACAGAUGGACCCGCGGCGCAUUAGCUAGUUGGUGAGGUAACGGCUCACCAAGGCAACGAUGCGUAGCCGACCUGAGAGGGUGAUCGGCCACACUGGGACUGAGACACGGCCCAGACUCCUACGGGAGGCAGCAGUAGGGAAUCUUCCGCAAUGGACGAAAGUCUGACGGAGCAACGCCGCGUGAGUGAUGAAGGUUUUCGGAUCGUAAAACUCUGUUGUUAGGGAAGAACAAGUACCGUUCGAAUAGGGCGGUACCUUGACGGUACCUAACCAGAAAGCCACGGCUAACUACGUGCCAGCAGCCGCGGUAAUACGUAGGUGGCAAGCGUUGUCCGGAAUUAUUGGGCGUAAAGCGCGCGCAGGCGGUUUCUUAAGUCUGAUGUGAAAGCCCCCGGCUCAACCGGGGAGGGUCAUUGGAAACUGGGGAACUUGAGUGCAGAAGAGGAGAGUGGAAUUCCACGUGUAGCGGUGAAAUGCGUAGAGAUGUGGAGGAACACCAGUGGCGAAGGCGACUCUCUGGUCUGUAACUGACGCUGAGGCGCGAAAGCGUGGGGAGCGAACAGGAUUAGAUACCCUGGUAGUCCACGCCGUAAACGAUGAGUGCUAAGUGUUAAAGGGUUUCCGCCCUUUAGUGCUGCAGCCAACGCAUUAAGCA
Molecule: ribosomal RNA, 845 nt
Filed under: Bacillus sp. A4F
Lineage: Bacteria; Bacillati; Bacillota; Bacilli; Caryophanales; Bacillaceae
Description: bacterial SSU rRNA
Rfam family: Bacterial small subunit ribosomal RNA
Source: RNAcentral